Molecule: ribosomal RNA, 497 nt
Filed under: uncultured bacterium
Lineage: Bacteria
Description: partial 16S ribosomal RNA
Rfam family: Bacterial small subunit ribosomal RNA
Source: RNAcentral
GAUGAACGCUGGCGGCGUGCCUAAUACAUGCAAGUCGAGCGAACGGACGCGAAGCUUGCUUCUCUGAUGUUAGCGGCGGACGGGUGAGUAACACGUGGAUAACCUACCUAUAAGACUGGGAUAACUUCGGGAAACCGGAGCUAAUACCGGAUAAUAUUUUGAACCGCAUGGUUGAAAAGUGAAAGACGGUCUUGCUGUAACUUAUAGCUGGAUCCGCGCUGCAUUAGCUAGUUGGUAAGGUAACGGCUUACCAAGGCAACGAUGCAUAGCCGACCUGAGAGGGUGAUCGGCCACACUGGAACUGAGACACGGUCCAGACUCCUACGGGAGGCAGCAGUAGGGAAGCUUCCGCAAUGGGCGAAAGCCUGACGGAGCAACGCCGCGUGAGUGAUGAAGGUCUUCGGAUCGUAAAACUCUGUUAUUAGGGAAGAACAUAUGUGUAAGUAACUGUGCACAUCUUGACGGUACCUAAUCAGAAAGCCACGGCUAACUACGUG